GGCGCGGUGGCGGAGUGGUUAUCGCGCAAGACUAGAAAUCUUGUUCCUUCGGGAGCGCAGGGUGAGUUUCUUCGCAGCCGGAUUUCCAUCUAUCAUAUUCUAACAUGUAAUUUAGUUCGAGUCCUGCCCGCGUCG
Molecule: non-coding RNA, 135 nt
Organism: Phaeosphaeria sp. MPI-PUGE-AT-0046c
Lineage: Eukaryota; Fungi; Ascomycota; Dothideomycetes; Pleosporales; Phaeosphaeriaceae
Source: the annotation of a GenBank genome assembly